RNAcentral lists this ribosomal RNA (462 nucleotides) under uncultured bacterium. Its description in RNAcentral is "bacterial SSU rRNA". It matches the Rfam family "Bacterial small subunit ribosomal RNA", at positions 1 to 507 of the family's 1533-position model. The record is from RNAcentral.
GAUAUCGACGAGUUUGUAUCAUGGCUCAGGAUGAACGCUGGCGGCGUGCCUAAGACAUGCAAGUCGAGUGGGUUUAGACCCACGGCGAACGGGUGAGUAAUACCUAGGAACGUCCUUCUAGUCGAGCAUAUCCAGCCGAAAGGUUGUGUAAUUCUCGAUGUGAUCGCAAGAUUAAAGUCGCAAGACGCUAGAAGUGCGGCCUGGGCACCAUCAGCUAGUUGGUAAGGUAAUGGCUUACCAAGGCUAUGACGGUUAGGGGCUCCGAGAGGAGUAACCCCCACACUGGGACUGCGACACGGCCCAGACUCCUACGGGAGGCAGCAGUUUGGAAUUUUGGACAAUGGGCGAAAGCCUGAUCCAGCGACGCCGCGUGGACGAUGAAGGCCUUCGGGUUGUAAAGUCCUUUUGCUCGGGAACAAUAUUUUGAGCGUACCGAGAGAAUAAGAGGUUGCUAACUCUGUG